AGUGGGAUAGCUGGGUCAAAUGGUAGUUCUGUUCCAGGUUUUCUGAGGAAUCUCCAAACUGCUUUCCAUAUUGGCUGCACCAAUUUGCAGUCUCACCAGCAAU
RNAcentral lists this microRNA precursor (103 nucleotides) under Marmota monax (woodchuck). Lineage: Eukaryota; Metazoa; Chordata; Mammalia; Rodentia; Sciuridae. The record is from RNAcentral.